CGUGUAGGCGGAAUGAUAUGUCAGAGGUGCAAUCUACGGGCUUAACUCGUAGCCUGCCUUUGAAACUGUCAUUCUUGAGUGCGGGAGAGGAGAGUGGAAUUCCUGGUGUAGCGGUGAAAUGCGUAGAUAUCAGGAAGAACACCGGUAGCGAAGGCGGCUCUCUGGCCCGCAACUGACGCUGAGGCGCGAAAGCGUGGGGAGCAAACAGGAUUAGAUACCCUGGUAGUCC
This 229-nucleotide ribosomal RNA is filed under the name uncultured bacterium. Its description in RNAcentral is "partial 16S ribosomal RNA". It matches the Rfam family "Bacterial small subunit ribosomal RNA", at positions 568 to 796 of the family's 1533-position model. The record is from RNAcentral.